AGCGACACCCAGGGAACUGAAACAUCUAAGUACCUGGAGGAAAAGUAAUCAAAAUUGAGAUUCCCUCAGUAGUGGCGAGCGAAAGGGGAAGAGUCUAAACCGUUAUAAUGCCAAGUUGCAAGAUUUUGUUAUAGCGGUGUUGUAGGGCGAUAUGUGAAAUACUUGCAUAUUUCGACUUUAAUCUAUAUGAUAGUAGAACUGUUUUGGAAAAGCAGACCAUAGUGGGUGAUAGUCUCGUAUAUGAAAUCAUAUAGUUAAGGUUAUGUCGUUCCUGAGUAGGGCGGGGCACGAGAAACCCUGUUUGAAUCUGGGUAGACCACUAUCCAAGACAAAAUACUAGCCAGUGACCGAUAGUGUAGAGUACCGUGAGGGAAAGGUGAAAAGUCUCCCGUUGAGGGCUAUUAAAUAGAACCUGAAACCUUAAGCUUACAAGUAGUCAGAGGGUAUCCUAUUAGCAAUAAUAGCGACCUAAUGGCGUGCCUUUUGUAGAAUGAGCCUGCGACUUAUAGUAUGUAGCAAGAUUAAGAGGUAAUAGCCUUGUAGUCGUAGUGAAAGCGAGCCUUAAUAGGGCGAAAUUAGUUGCAUGCUAUACGACCCGAAGCCAAGUGAUCUACCUAUGAGCAGCGCGAAACUCGAGUAACAUCGAGCGGAGGUGCGAACCAGUGGUCGUGAAAAGACUUUGGAUGACUUGUGGGUAGGAGUGAAAGGCUAAUCAAACUUGGAGAUAGCUGGUUCUCUCCGAAAUGUCUUUAGGGGCAGCGUUAUGCGUUUACUUGCGGGGGUAGAGCACUAAAUGGACUAGGGCUCCUAACCGAGUACCAAACCCAACUAAACUCCGAAUACCGUAAGUUAAGAGCAUGGCAGUUAGACAGCGGCGGAUAAGCGUCAUUGUCAAAAGGGAAACAGCCCAGAUCCUCAGCUAAGGUCCCAAAAUCUAUGUUAAGUGGGAAAGGAUGUGAGAAUACUUAAACAGCCAGGAGGUUGGCUUAGAAGCAGCCAUUCCUUUAAAGAGUGCGUAACAGCUCACUGGUCGAGUGUUUUUGCGCCGAAAAUGUAACGGGGCUCAAACAUAGUACCGAAGCUAGGGAAUUAUAGAGUUGAUCUAUAAUUGGUAGGAGAGCGUUCUUUAAGCCGUUGAAGGUAUGUCGUAAGAUAUACUGGAGGUAUAAGAAGCGAGGAUGCAGGCAUAAGUAACGAGAAAACGGGUGAAAAACCCGUUCGCCGCAAACCCAAGGUUUCCUAGGUAAAGCUAAUCUGCCUAGGGUUAGUCGACCCCUAAGAUAAGGCUGAAAAGCGUAGUCGAUGGGAAACAGGUAAAUAUUCCUGUACUAUAGUAUGUUUCGAUGGAAUGACACAGAUUGUUUGCGUGCGCGAGGUUUUGGUUGUCCUCGUCGAACCGUUUAGACUUGUGGCGAGUCAAAUGCUUGUCGCUUUAAGGUUGAGACGGGAUAGUGACUGGGCUUUCGGGUUCAGGAAGUUGCGUGAACUAGGCUGUCGAGAAAUAAUUUCUAAGGUUAGGCAUAUUAUAAUCGUACCGUAAACCGACACAGGUGGGUGAGAUGAAUAUUCUAAGGCGCUCGAGAUAAUCUUCCCUAAGGAACUCUGCAAAUUAGUCUUGUAACUUCGGAAAAAGAGACGCCUGAAUCUCGAUAGCAAUAUUGGGAGGAGGGUCGCAGUGAAAAGGCCUGGCCGACUGUUUAACAAAAACACAGAUCUCUGCAAACAUGCAAAUGGAUGUAUAGGGAUUGACACCUGCCCAGUGCUGGAAGGUUAAAAGGAGAGGUUAGCGCAAGCGAAGCUUCGAAUUGAAGCCCCAGUAAACGGCGGCCGUAACUAUGACGGUCCUAAGGUAGCGAAAUUCCUUGUCGGGUAAGUUCCGACCUGCACGAAUGGUGUAACGAUCCGGGCACUGUCUCGGGGAAGAACUCGGUGAAAUUGAAUUAUCAGUGAAGAUGCUGAUUACCCGCAACAGGACGGAAAGACCCCGUGAACCUUUACUAUAACUUGGCAUUGAGUUUUGUUUUGCGAUGUGUAGAAUAGAUGGGAGACUUUGAAGCGAGAGCGCCAGCUUUUGUGGAGUCAUCGUUGAAAUACCAUCCUUCGUAAAAUGGGAUUCUAACGAUUAGCCGUUAUCCGGCAGUCGGACAUUGCCAGGCGGGUAGUUUGACUGGGGCGGUCGCCUCCUAAAGAGUAACGGAGGCGUGCAAAGGUCACCUCAAACCGAAUAGAAAUCGGUAGUAGAGUAUAAAGGCAUAAGGUGGCUUGACUGCGAGAGAGACAUCUCGAGCAGGUGCGAAAGCAGGUCUUAGUGAUCCGGUGGUCCCGAGUGGAAGGGCCAUCGCUAAACGGACAAAAGGUACUCCGGGGAUAACAGGCUUAUCUC
This 2383-nucleotide ribosomal RNA is filed under the name human gut metagenome. RNAcentral's name for it is "bacterial LSU rRNA". It matches the Rfam family "Bacterial large subunit ribosomal RNA", at positions 177 to 2489 of the family's 2925-position model. The record is from RNAcentral.